UGAGUGCUGGGAUUACAGGUGUGUGCCACCAUGUCUAAAGAUUUUUGAAAGCAAUCAUUUGUGCAGUGGAGCUGAGCUGAGUGUUUUCAAAGUAUCUGCAUCUGAGCACUCUUGUGCAAAUGACAGAGGAACCAGCUGUCUUCUCUUCCUGUCAGUGAUUCAGUCAUGAGAGAUGUGUCUUGUCCUUUGACUAAGCCCCGAGUUUAUGCUGGACACUUCCUCUUGAUUCUGAAUCAGAACCCCAGGCCCUCCCUUAGCCGGUUCCUGCGUCCUUGUCGCAGUCCCUACAGUCAUCCCCGCUCACUCUGGCCUUUCGCCUCUCCCUACCUGCACAUCAGUGCCAGGCUGACCAUAGCUUUGCCUGGACAGGCCCAGCUUAAGGAAUUCGCUCUGAAUGACUCACAGAAUUACAUCAAACUGCUCCCUGAAGAAUUCCGUCUGCCUUCCGUGUAAUGGUUUCCUCUGGCUUAGAUGACCUUGGCUCCUGCCUGACAGAAUGAACACGGCGGGAGUCUGGCUCUGUGCUUCUUUCCCCUUCCACUUUCUCCUGUCCCCUUCCCUGGCGUUUAUUCUGAUAUCCGUCUCUGUACCUUCACGUGUGCUGUUCCUUACCCACCCACCCUUGCAUUCAUGAAGAAGAUACUGAACUUCUUCCACAUCAUGGGCUGUGUUUGGGGUCCUGGGGAUAUGAUCUCGGCAGUUUGGGUUACACCCUGCCUCUUCUUCCUCAGUCCAAGGCAGUCCAAGUCAUACUCUGCCUUCAGGAACUGAUUCAACCCUCACCUUCCCAAAGAUUGCUUGACUCUGGAAAGCGGAUCGCUCAGGGGUGCCGGCUUCGGGCUGUCCCUCUCCAUAGCCUUCUCCUAGUAAAGACAAACCGUUCCUGUGGACUGACAGCCACCCAGACAGAAGCCGAGACGCCUUGGUCUGAUCUGACGGAGAGAGAGGGAAACUUUUACAAUCUGCAGGGCACUGAAUUUCCAGCUAGUGUUAAGUGGCCAUAGCAAAGCAUAACCUGUGGCUUCAAUUUGGUCUGUCAAAGAUGGAAUUAAAAGUAAAUUUGAAGUUUCA
Long non-coding RNA from Chinchilla lanigera (long-tailed chinchilla), 1071 nucleotides. RefSeq lists it as uncharacterized. NCBI's taxonomy places the organism in Eukaryota, Metazoa, Chordata, Mammalia, Rodentia, Chinchillidae. The transcript has 2 exons. The record is from RefSeq and is a predicted model, not a curated record.